This 99-nucleotide ribosomal RNA is filed under the name uncultured bacterium. RNAcentral describes it as "partial 16S ribosomal RNA". It matches the Rfam family "Bacterial small subunit ribosomal RNA", at positions 1386 to 1482 of the family's 1533-position model. The record is from RNAcentral.
CACACCGCCCGUCACACCAUGGGAGUUGGUUUCACCCGAAGGCGCUGCGCUAACCCGCAAGGGAGGCAGGCGACCACGGUGGGAUCAGCGACUGGGGUG